GCCAGGUGUGGUGGCUCAUGCCUGUAAUCCCAUCUGCUCAGGAGGUUGAGGCAGGAGGAUCUCGAGUUCAAAGCCAGCCUCAGCAAAAGCGAUGUGCUAAGCAACUCAGUGAGACCCUGUCUUUA
Molecule: small RNA, 125 nt
Filed under: Marmota monax (woodchuck)
Lineage: Eukaryota; Metazoa; Chordata; Mammalia; Rodentia; Sciuridae
Source: RNAcentral